UACACCAGGAGCCCCACCAACCUGCAGUAAUUAUUCAUCCCAUUGUCGACAACUACAAGAUGGGACCCAACUUCAAGAGAGGCCAAAUGGUUUCUCCAUAUGGCGGAACAUCACGAGUACAGAGUACAGACACAUAUGCAAAGCUCAGGCAGAAUCAAUGGCUGGGACUAGGAGAUGAUCGUCAUUCCAAGUAGCCUCUUGGAUGGUCAUCGGUUCUGGUGGCGAUGCCGAUGAUCGUUGAGAGGUUCGUGGACUGGACGGUGUCAUGGUUGCCAAUGUACGAAGAGGCGAAGCUGCUGCUCGUCAUCUACCUCUGGCACCCCAGCACAUGGG
This is a long non-coding RNA of Triticum dicoccoides, 333 nucleotides long. RefSeq lists it as uncharacterized. The transcript is spliced from 3 exons. Lineage: Eukaryota; Viridiplantae; Streptophyta; Magnoliopsida; Poales; Poaceae. The record is from RefSeq and is a predicted model, not a curated record.